This 496-nucleotide ribosomal RNA is filed under the name uncultured bacterium. RNAcentral's name for it is "partial 16S ribosomal RNA". It matches the Rfam family "Bacterial small subunit ribosomal RNA", at positions 28 to 506 of the family's 1533-position model. The record is from RNAcentral.
GAUGAACGCUGGCGGCGUGCCUAAUACAUGCAAGUCGAGCGAACAGACGAGUAGCUUGCUCCUCUGACGUUAGCGGCGGACGGGUGAGUAACACGUGGAUAACCUACCUAUAAGACUGGGAUAACUUCGGGAAACCGGAGCUAAUACCGGAUAAUAUAUUGAACCGCAUGGUUCAAUAGUGAAAGACGGUUUUGCUGUCACUUAUAGAUGGAUCCGCGCCGCAUUAGCUAGUUGGUAAGGUAACGGCUUACCAAGGCGACGAUGCGUAGCCGACCUGAGAGGGUGAUCGGCCAAACUGGAACUGAGACACGGUCCAGACGCCUACGGGAGGCAGCAGUAGGGAAUCUUCCGCAAUGGGCGAAAGCCUGACGGAGAAACGCCGCGUGAGUGAUGAAGGUCUUCGGAUCGUAAAACUCUGUUAUUAGGGAAGAACAAAUGUGUAAGUAACUAUGCACGUCUUGACGGUACCUAAUCAGAAAGCCACGGCUAACUACGU